Molecule: ribosomal RNA, 498 nt
Filed under: Fusarium solani
Lineage: Eukaryota; Fungi; Ascomycota; Sordariomycetes; Hypocreales; Nectriaceae
Description: eukaryotic LSU rRNA
Rfam family: 5.8S ribosomal RNA (bases 124-277)
Source: RNAcentral
UGACAUACCUAAACGUUGCUUCGGCGGGAACAGACGGCCCCGUGAAACGGGCCGCCCCCGCCAGAGGACCCCUAACUCUGUUUCUAUAAUGUUUCUUCUGAGUAAAACAAGCAAAUAAAUUAAAACUUUCAACAACGGAUCUCUUGGCUCUGGCAUCGAUGAAGAACGCAGCGAAAUGCGAUAAGUAAUGUGAAUUGCAGAAUUCAGUGAAUCAUCGAAUCUUUGAACGCACAUUGCGCCCGCCAGUAUUCUGGCGGGCAUGCCUGUUCGAGCGUCAUUACAACCCUCAGGCCCCCGGGCCUGGCGUUGGGGAUCGGCGGAGCCCCCCGUGGGCACACGCCGUCCCCCAAAUACAGUGGCGGUCCCGCCGCAGCUUCCAUCGCGUAGUAGCUAACACCUCGCGACUGGAGAGCGGCGCGGCCACGCCGUAAAACACCCAACUCUUCUGAAGUUGACCUCGAAUCAGGUAGGAAUACCCGCUGAACUUAAGCAUAUCAA